Molecule: ribosomal RNA, 252 nt
Filed under: uncultured bacterium
Lineage: Bacteria
Description: partial 16S ribosomal RNA
Rfam family: Bacterial small subunit ribosomal RNA
Source: RNAcentral
UACAGAGGGUGCGAGCGUUAAUCGGAAUUACUGGGCGUAAAGCGCGCGUAGACGGUUUUGUAAGUCAGAUGUGAAAUCCCUGGGCUCAACCUGGGAACUGCAUUUGAGACUGCAUGGCUAGAGUAUCGAAGAGGGAAGUGGAAUUUCCGGUGUAGCGGUGAAAUGCGUAGAUAUCGGAAGGAACACCUGUGGCGAAAGCGGCUCACUGGACCACAACUGACGCUGAUGCACGAAAGCUAGGGGAGCAAACAG